AGGGCCACAGGAAGGAACAGGAG
Molecule: non-coding RNA, 23 nt
Filed under: Cricetulus griseus (Chinese hamster)
Lineage: Eukaryota; Metazoa; Chordata; Mammalia; Rodentia; Cricetidae
Source: RNAcentral